Molecule: long non-coding RNA, 1102 nt
Filed under: Oncorhynchus mykiss (rainbow trout)
Lineage: Eukaryota; Metazoa; Chordata; Actinopteri; Salmoniformes; Salmonidae
Description: lncRNA (ENSOMYG00000052963.1)
Source: RNAcentral
GGUGUGCCUGGAAUCAAAGGAGAAUCAGGACUACGGGGAGAGCAGGGACCAGCGGGUGAGCCUGGUGAGAGAGGAACAAGGGUAAUGUCUCCAUGUUCUACCCAACUCUUAUCAUUUCUCUGCACACAAGUUUGAAAUAUGCUGCACUGUUGGUUGGAGUGGAUAUUUCUUGGCUUAUCCUCACUCUAUACUGUGACUGUAGGGCCCACUGGGGUUACCGGGACGACCAGGGGACCCAGCAGAGAAAGGAGAUACCGGGAACAUUGGUUUGCCUGUAAGCAUUUUCUGACUUUACUAUCAAGCGCCAUUUUGUUUGUAAAACUUUAUUAGUCACUGUCAAAGAUACAAACCUGAUUGAUUUGAAUUGCUCGGCGUGGUUGGAUAUGUUCAGCGAUAUGAUUUCCUCUUUGUUUCAGGGAACGGAGGGAAAGAAAGGAGAGCCUGUAGGUGUACAUUCACAACAACAUGACAGACAUGUAUCACUGUAUGCAGCGGUUGGCUGACUCUCCAUCACACUUGGUUUAGGUCAAUGUCUCACGUCACUGACUUCGCCCAUUGUUCAGGAACAUCAACACUCUUGUGUUUCUAAUUAUAUUCCUAGCCUGAUAAAUGCACAAAUGAAAAAUCCCAGCUUUAUUAAUCAUGUUAUGUUCCCCUUGAGUGAGUGUUGCAUCUCCCAUCAGUAUUGUGAUGGUGAUGCAGGACUGCUCAGCUCGCACAGUGUGUUUACUAGCCGCUAGUUGACCGCACAUCCCUCUUGUUUUGUUUUGUUCCCAUGGUCUCGCCUCUGAAGGGAAAACCAGGACCUCCGGGAGGCGCGCAAUUCAGUUCAGACAACAAUAUCCUGACUAGGGUGAUCAAGGGUGAACCAGGACAUCCCGGAGAGCCCGGUCUCAGAGGGGAGACAGGUCUGCCUGGACAAAGGGGUCCUGAUGGAAAACCAGGAUCUCCAGGAACGGGAGGGUCUGGGUCAGGGAGAGAUGGUCUGGAUGGGUUACCAGGAAAACCUGGAUCCAAGGUUUGGACACCUCAUUCCCUCACUUCCUUUCACAUCUGUUGUUGUUAUUCUAAUGUGAACACACACAAACAUACACGUACAUAG